RNAcentral lists this ribosomal RNA (253 nucleotides) under uncultured bacterium. Its description in RNAcentral is "partial 16S ribosomal RNA". It matches the Rfam family "Bacterial small subunit ribosomal RNA", at positions 524 to 776 of the family's 1533-position model. The record is from RNAcentral.
GACGAAGGAUGCAAGCGUUAUCCGGAUUCAUUGGGUUUGAAGGGAGCGUAGGUGGCCUUAUAAGUCAGCGGUGAAAUCUCUGGGCUUAACCCAGAAAUUGCCAUUGAUACUGCCUUGCUCGAGGACUGGAGAGGAGAUUGGAAUUCACGGUGUAGCAGUGAAAUGCGUAGAUAUCGUGAGGAAGACCAGUGGCGAAGGCGGAUCUCUGGACAGUUCCUGACGCUGAGGCACGAAGGCCAGGGGAGCAAACGGG